GACACGAUGGCCGAGCGGUUAAGGCGUCAGAUUAGAAUUAUUGACGAGGACAAUCUGAUACGGUUUCCGUGCGUAGGUUCAAAUCCUACUCGUGUCG
RNAcentral lists this transfer RNA (97 nucleotides) under Tulasnella sp. 417. RNAcentral describes it as "tRNA-Ser". It matches the Rfam family "tRNA". Rfam says of the family: Transfer RNA (tRNA) molecules are approximately 80 nucleotides in length. Their secondary structure includes four short double-helical elements and three loops (D, anti-codon, and T loops). Lineage: Eukaryota; Fungi; Basidiomycota; Agaricomycetes; Cantharellales; Tulasnellaceae. The record is from RNAcentral.